This 231-nucleotide long non-coding RNA is filed under the name Capsicum annuum. RNAcentral describes it as "long non-coding RNA (CANN_LNC020337)". Lineage: Eukaryota; Viridiplantae; Streptophyta; Magnoliopsida; Solanales; Solanaceae. The record is from RNAcentral.
ACCUCCCUCCCCACUAUCCUGUCUUCCCUCAACUACCUCCACUUCCCCCUUUUAAAGGGUAAUUCCCUCAACCCCCUGAGGGUAUACGUACUACAACAUCAGAUAACCAGAGAGAAAAAUUAACAGAGAGAACACUAUAAAAAACAGAGAGAACAACCAGAAAAAAAAGACAAAAAGCAAAUAUAAAGAAGAAGAUAAAGAGGAGAAAGAGUCGUGAUUCAAGUUUCAGGG